RNAcentral lists this unclassified non-coding RNA (277 nucleotides) under sea anemone metagenome. RNAcentral describes it as "partial contains small subunit ribosomal RNA and internal transcribed spacer 1". The stretch from base 1 to 157 matches the Rfam family "Eukaryotic small subunit ribosomal RNA", at positions 1678 to 1831 of the family's 1831-position model. The record is from RNAcentral.
GCUACUACCGAUUGAAUGGUUUAGUGAGGACUCCUGAUUGGCGCCGCCGCCCCGGCACGGAGCAGCGGACUGCCGAAAAGUUGUUCAAACUUGAUCAUUUAGAGGAAGUAAAAGUCGUAACAAGGUUUCCGUAGGUGAACCUGCAGAAGGAUCAAGAACGGAAGAGCACAAGGUUGAAACCCAGGCAAGUGGGCCUAACUCGGAUGCCGUCCUCUGCCUUAAAAAAAAAAAAACAUCUUACCUCUGUAUUCAUGCUACUGCUUCCCCCUCCACACAC